Molecule: ribosomal RNA, 507 nt
Filed under: Triticum aestivum (bread wheat)
Lineage: Eukaryota; Viridiplantae; Streptophyta; Magnoliopsida; Poales; Poaceae
Description: partial small subunit ribosomal RNA
Source: RNAcentral
AUGCCUCCCCUGGUGGUGACAAUACUAGUUUUGUUUUAUUUUCAAAUUUCCUUCCUUCUAAUUAUACUAUAUAACACUACUUAUGUACCCAUGCCAUGUUUUCGUGCUUCUACACUGCAAUACUACCGCUCCGUCUGGCUGGAUAAGUGCUCCCAUGAAUCAACAACAAAUCCUUUAAAUUUGCAUGUCAACGACACAAAAGAUGCACCCUCACAUUUGCUACUGCCGCAAGCUUAUAUUGUUUCAUUGUCAAUGUUUUAUUCUAUGCUUCCAACCAAGAUAAGUAAUGUUGAGUUGACAUAUUUUCAUGCUUCCUACAUUUUAUUUCAACAUCAUGAUUCGUACAAUUUGUCAUAUUUUCAUACAAUUUUACCACACAUCUUCAUAUAUCAGUUUAUUUCGUCAAUUCACAUAUCUGCAGAUUUCCUGACAUACUACAUUUCUUAUGUUUUCAGUGGAGCCACAAUAAUGAAGCAGGAGAUAUGCUCAAGGGUACCCCACCUCUGA